This 253-nucleotide ribosomal RNA is filed under the name uncultured bacterium. Its description in RNAcentral is "partial 16S ribosomal RNA". It matches the Rfam family "Bacterial small subunit ribosomal RNA", at positions 524 to 776 of the family's 1533-position model. The record is from RNAcentral.
UACGGGGGGGGCAAGCGUUGUUCGGAAUUACUGGGCGUAAAGGGCUCGUAGGCGGCCAACUAAGUCAGACGUGAAAUCCCUCGGCUUAACCGGGGAACUGCGUCUGAUACUGGAUGGCUAGAGGUUGGGAGAGGGAUGCGGAAUUCCAGGUGUAGCGGUGAAAUGCGUAGAUAUCUGGAGGAACACCGGUGGCGAAGGCGGCAUCCUGGACCAAUUCUGACGCUGAGGCACGAAGGCCAGGGGAGCAAACGGG